RNAcentral lists this ribosomal RNA (404 nucleotides) under Verrucomicrobiota bacterium. Its description in RNAcentral is "Verrucomicrobia bacterium partial 16S ribosomal RNA". It matches the Rfam family "Bacterial small subunit ribosomal RNA", at positions 355 to 776 of the family's 1533-position model. The record is from RNAcentral. Lineage: Bacteria; Pseudomonadati; Verrucomicrobiota.
UGGGGAAUAUUGCACAAUGGGCGCAAGCCUGAUGCAGCAACGCCGCGUGAACGAUGAAGGUCUUCGGAUCGUAAAGUUCUGUUGCAGGGGAAGAUAAUGACGGUACCCUGUGAGGAAGCCCCGGCUAACUACGUGCCAGCAGCCGCGGUAAUACGUAGGUGGCGAGCGUUAUCCGGAUUUACUGGGUGUAAAGGGCGUGCAGGCGGGCUGAUAAGUCAGAUGUGAAAUCCCCGAGCUUAACUCGGGAACUGCAUCUGAUACUGUUGGUCUUGAGUGCUGGAGAGGAUAGUGGAAUUCCUAGUGUAGCGGUGAAAUGCGUAGAGAUUAGGAGGAACACCGGUGGCGAAAGCGGCUUUUUGGCCUGCAACUGACACUGAGGCGCGAAAGCGUGGGGAGCAAACAGG